Molecule: long non-coding RNA, 1310 nt
Filed under: Equus caballus (horse)
Lineage: Eukaryota; Metazoa; Chordata; Mammalia; Perissodactyla; Equidae
Description: lncRNA (ENSECAG00000057616.1)
Source: RNAcentral
GUUAAUAAAUUUAUUUUGAAAUAAUUUUACAUUUAGAGAAGAGUUGGGAAGAUAAUACAGAGAGCUCCUUUAUACUCUUUACCUAGCUACCCCUAAUGUUAACAUCUUACACAACCAGCUACAUUUAACAAAACUAAGAAAUCAACAUUGGUAUCAUACUAUGAACUAAACUACAGACUUCUUUAAGAUUUCAUCGGUUUUUCCCACAGUAGGCUACUGGUGGCUAUGAUUUUCCAAUAGGAAUACCUCUGAGCCACAAGUUGAAAGGAAGCACCUGUUUGAUAAUGUCAAAAAUGAGCCUCAGGUGUCAGUAUUCAACCAUCAGGUCAGGAAGCCAGUUUAUAUAAAGAGAGUAGCCAAGCAUCAUUUAAGAUGUCUGGAUGUCGUCAAGGUGUGUCAGAAGUAAGAGGUGAAUACAAGCCUCUUGGAGCUAUUAACUCUACUUGAAGCAGGAUUCCAAGGAGACAACACCGAGAGUGGCAGCACAGCGUAGCAGUUCAGAACCACUGAUGGAUGCUGGAGCUACAUGGCUGGCUUCAAAUCACAGCUGGAUAUUGCUUACUGGAUGUGUGAUGUUGGGCAGCAACUUGACUCAUUUAAUCUUCACAACAGCCCUAUGAAAAGUCAACAUAGUGGUUUCUCUUGGACGGGGAGUGACUGAAAGAGAUCAUGAGGGGGAAGCUUCUGGUGUGCUGGGUAAAUACCAAGGAGUAAGAUUGCUGGAUCAUAUGGUUUGUGUAUUCAUCACCACAGUGAGGAAACCGAUCAGCUCCAUCACCACGAGGAUCCCUGGAAACAAUUCCUCCAUAACAGAAGGCAGCAUCAGCCACAGCCUAUCCUGAAGAGCACUAAUGUCAAGAGGAAGAAGAACAGUGCAAAGGAAAGGAUGCUGUAGAGGCUUUGAGAGCAGUCUGGUUUUCAAUAUAUGCCUGUUACGGGUUGAAUUGUGUCCCUCCCAAAUUCAUACGUUGAAGUCCCAGCUCCUAGUACCUCAGAAUGUGACCUUAUUUGGAGAUUUGGACGAGACUGUGAACUGGAUAACAACUUACCCAUCUGCAGUAGUGUGCCCUGCUGCUGUUUUCCAAUGGCAACUGAGACAUCCCUUUGAUAAUAUAGCUCCUGGAUCUUUUUCUUAUUCUAACUCUUCUAGCUAUUCAAGAAAUUAAUCAGUUAAAGUUCAAAGGAUUUCCCAAGUUGAAGACCCUUAAGCUAGAAAAAGGCAAUAAGCCCAAGCAACUACUGUGAGACUUGACAUGUGUCCCUCAGCAAACUUUACAUUACACAGGACUAUUUAUUGCCUUAAACAAUGA